RNAcentral lists this ribosomal RNA (483 nucleotides) under uncultured bacterium. RNAcentral describes it as "partial 16S ribosomal RNA". It matches the Rfam family "Bacterial small subunit ribosomal RNA", at positions 28 to 507 of the family's 1533-position model. The record is from RNAcentral.
GAUGAACGCUGGCGGCGUGCCUAACACAUGCAAGUCGAACGAAGCUUGACGGAUGAUUUCUUCGGAAUGAAACCAGAUAUGACUUAGUGGCGGACGGGUGAGUAACACGUGAGCAACCUGCCUUUCAGAGGGGGAUAACGGCUGGAAACGGUCGCUAAUACCGCAUGAUGUGUUCGGAUGGCAUCAUCUGAACAUCAAAGAUUUAUCGCUGGAAGAUGGGCUCGCGUCUGAUUAGAUAGUUGGUGGGGUAACGGCCUACCAAGUCUACGAUCAGUAGCCGGACUGAGAGGUUGAACGGCCACAUUGGGACUGAGAUACGGCCCAGACUCCUACGGGAGGCAGCAGUGGGGAAUAUUGCACAAUGGGGGAAACCCUGAUGCAGCAACGCCGCGUGAAGGAUGGCGGUUUUCGGAUUGUAAACUUCUUUUCUUAGUGACGAAGACAGUGACGGUAGAUAAGGAAUAAGCAUCGGCUAACUACGUG